UUGGAGGGCAAGUCUGGUGCCAGCAGCCGCGGUAAUUCCAGCUCCAAUAGCGUAUAUUAAAGUUGUUGCAGUUAAAAAGCUCGUAGUUGAAUUUCGGGAUCAAAUUGUCGGUCGUGCCUCGGUACGCACUGGUAUUAUUGGUUCCUACCUUCUGAAGAACCGCGAUGUCAUUAAUUUGGUGUCGUGGGGAAUCAGGACUGUUACUUUGAAAAAAUUAGAGUGUUUAAAGCAGGCUUACGCUUGAAUACAUUAGCAUGGAAUAAUGAAAUAGGACGUUUGAUUCUAUUUUGUUGGUUUCUAGGAUUGACGUAAUGAUUAAUAGGGAUAGUUGGGGGCAUUAGUAUUCAAUUGUCAGAGGUGAAAUUCUUGGAUUUAUUGAAGACUAACUACUGCGAAAGCAUUUGCCAAGGAUGUUUUCAUUAAUCAAGAACGAAAGUUAGGGGAUCGAAGACGAUCAGAUACCGUCGUAGUCUUAACCAUAAACUAUGCCGACUAGGGAUCGGAUGAUGUUAAUUUUUUAAUGACUCAUUCGGCGCCUUACGGGAAAC
This 548-nucleotide ribosomal RNA is filed under the name uncultured Glomus. RNAcentral describes it as "SSU rRNA". It matches the Rfam family "Eukaryotic small subunit ribosomal RNA", at positions 548 to 1098 of the family's 1831-position model. The record is from RNAcentral. Lineage: Eukaryota; Fungi; Glomeromycota; Glomeromycetes; Glomerales; Glomeraceae. RNAcentral also lists the same sequence under 1 other name.